This 432-nucleotide ribosomal RNA is filed under the name uncultured bacterium. RNAcentral's name for it is "bacterial SSU rRNA". It matches the Rfam family "Bacterial small subunit ribosomal RNA", at positions 28 to 464 of the family's 1533-position model. The record is from RNAcentral.
GUUGAACGCUGGCGGCAUGCCUUACACAUGCAAGUCGAACGGCAGCACGGGAGCAAUCCUGGUGGCGAGUGGCGAACGGGUGAGUAAUAUAUCGGAACGUGCCCAGUCGUGGGGAUAACGUAGCGAAAGCUACGCUAAUACCGCAUACGAUCUAUGGAUGAAAGCGGGGGAUCGCAAGACCUCGCGCGAUUGGAGCGGCCGAUAUCAGAUUAGGUAGUUGGUGAGGUAAAGGCUCACCAAGCCGACGAUCUGUAGCUGGUCUGAGAGGACGACCAGCCACACUGGGACUGAGACACGGCCCAGACUCCUACGGAGGCAGCAGUGGGGAAUUUUGGACAAUGGCGCAAGACCUGAUCCAGCAAUGCCGCGUGCAGGGUGAAGGCCUUCGGGUUGGUAAACGUAGUACUUUGUUACGGUAACGAACGGUAGGAG